This is a long non-coding RNA of Oncorhynchus tshawytscha (Chinook salmon), 1613 nucleotides long. Lineage: Eukaryota; Metazoa; Chordata; Actinopteri; Salmoniformes; Salmonidae. The record is from Ensembl.
GUAGUGGUUGUAACGUAUUAGUGGAGUAGUGGUUGUAACGUAUUAGUGGAGUAGUGGUUGUAACGUAUUAGUGGAGUAGUGGUUGUUACGUAUUAGUGGAGUAGUGGUUGUAACGUAUUAGUGGAGUAGUGGUUGUAACUAUUAGUGGAGUAGUGGUUGUAACUAUUAGUGGAGUAGUGGUUGUAACUAUUAGUGGAGUAGUGGUUGUAACUAUUAGUGGAGUAGUGGUUGUAACUAUUAGUGGAGUAGGGGUUGUAACGUAUUAGUGGAGUAGUGGUUGUAACGUAUUAGUGGAGUAGUGGGUGUAACUAUUAGUGGAGUAGUGGGUGUAACGCAUUAGAUGAAGCAGAAUUAUGAUACAGGUACGUCGGUUCACUGACAAGGUGAUGUCAUUUCAGAGUCGCCCACCAGGAGAAAGAUAUGGCCUCUUGUAGAGGUCAGCAUGUGUCAGUGUUGUGAUGUUUGAGCAGAGCCUACAGUCCUCUUUUUAUAUCUCAACAGAUCUGGGGAAGAGAGAUACGAUGACCCGUUCCCCUGACUGUAAGUAUUGAUCGGUCCCCUGACUGUAAGUAUUGAUCGGUCCCCUAACAGUAAGUAUUGAUCGGUCCCCUAACAGUAAGUAAGUAUUGAUCGGUCCCCUAACAGUAAGUAAGUAUUGAUCGGUCCUCUAACAGUAAGUAUUGAUCGGUCCCCUGACAGUAAGUAUUGAUCGGUCCCCUGACAGUAAGUAAGUAUUGAUCGUCCCCUAACAGUAAGUAAGUAUUGAUCGGUGAUCGGUCCCCUAACAGUAAGUGUUGAUCGGUCCCCUAACAGUAAGUAUUGAUCGGUCCCUAACUAACAGUAAGUGUAUUGAUCGGUCCCCUAACAGUAAGUAUUGAUCGGUCCCCUAACAGUAAGUAUUGAUCGGUCCCCUAACAGUAAGUAUUGAUCGGUCCCCUAACAGUAAGUAUUGAUCGGUCCCCUAACAGUAAGUAUUGAUCGGUCCCCUAACAGUAAGUAUUGAUCGGUCCCCUAACAGUAAGUAAGUAUUGAUCGGUCCCCUAACAGUAAGUAUUGAUCGGUCCCCUGACAGUAAGUAUUGAUCGGUCCCCUGACAGUAAGUAUUGAUCGGUCCCCUGACUGUAGGUAUUGAUUGGUUCCCUCUACAUAUGUUCAGUGGUGUCCUCUCCACUUGACAUCCAUGUCACCAGUCAGAUCUGAACCCUGGUCUCCUGCAUAUAAAACCAACACUUUAACCAAUAGGCCAAGAGGACAUUCUGUCUCAAGCGGAGGGUGACACGUAUUUUAUGCCUCAGGUAGUACCUCACCAGUAGAGCUUGAGUCCGACUCACCUCCACUACACACAGGGAUGAUCACCAAGGAAUAUGCAUGUCUUUUAAAGCUUGUUGUCUAACGGUCUGUUUCAGUAUCUGGUCUGGGGAUCAUUCAGCUGGGAAAGACUGGAGCAGGGAUGAGUGCAACCGGAAACACCAAACAGGUGUUUAUAGAAGAGUUCUCUUCUGAGUCUGUGACGACACAAUGUGAAGAUAUCCAGAGGAUGAAGAGGACAGCUUCAGACACUACUGAAACAGGAGGAGGAGGAGGAGCAGCAGCAGGAGUAGGUGCAGCAGCAG